AGGCGGACAUGCAUGCCAUUGUACUGUACACUACAUGAGUUGCAAAACUUGGCUCUACAUUUUUAUCGGCUGUACUUCUGGGUGACAACACUCCGUGUCCGGCUGCCUCCGCGUCUACCCGGAGCCCGUGUGCGUACGUGAGGAGUGUGUGUGCACAUACAGUAGUAAAUAAAUGAACUUACUGUGCGUGCUGUUGGAGAAAGCGAUCCAUUGGGAAGGCAGCCAGUGGAAGAAGAGGCACCCUGCCGCUCUGGGCCCUCCAAACCUGAGCCCACACAGACCAGACCAAAGCAGAGGAGCUCCAAGCUGGCCUCUCCCCGGAUUGCCUCAGCGGGUACCUGAGAGUUUACUGGGGGCUGGCAGCGUGUUAUCAUGCCUGCCGUGGGGACACCUGCCUCUGAUGCCGCCCUGGUGAUUCUAAUCUGCAGGACCCUUUAAUAAGAUAAUGAUAGGCUGCGUUGCCUCUGCUGCUCUGAAUGAUGGAGCAGGAGCACACACGGCUUUCUGUUGGUGUUAUUUAUUUUUGUUAUGGUUUUCGCGUGCUCACCUCUGCUCCAUGUGCAGCUGUGGUUUGGUACAACUGGGGAUUGUCUCAUCCAUGCAGUUCCAUGUCUCAGUGAGUGGAGGAAGUCAGAGGCAUCACCAGUGUCUGAUCACAAGACUUCAGCUCUCUGUUGUAGUCUUCAUGAGCACUGAUGAUAAAUCAACACACUCUUUCUGACCUCAGCACGUUUGAAUUGUUCACCAUCAGCAAUAAAUGGUAGAUUUAAUUAUAAUUCUGUCUCUGUGGCGUAUACAGAUUUAAGCUAUAAUAAUAAAAAAUGCAAAACACAAGUACUAAUACAUGCUACUUUCAUAUUUUACAAUCUUAAUGUGUUACCUUGCUGAUAGCUCUAUUGGAACUCUAUAUAUUUCGGUGAGCUUUUGAAAAUAUAUAUCGUUAGUGCUCAACACAUGUUUGCCUCUAAUAUCCAUACGUAUGUUUGCUUUUUGCCUUAGCCUACGUAUUUCAUGCUGCUUCUAUAUAGGGCAAACAUUAUAUUGAUGACAAAUAUACUCCAAAAUACCUUUGUUUUUUCCUUGAAAUACAUAUAACAAUAUAUACAAUGUGUAUACAAGAUGUAGCAAUUGAUUUUUAUUUUAUUUUUCUAUAUUUAGGAUUGCACUCUUACAGGUAAGAAAGCAUUUUACAUAAUAGACAUUUUUGCUUUAAUCAUUUUUUUUCAAAGGAUUCUAGGGACAUGAUUUCUUUUAAUGUUGAAUAAUUAGAUAGUCGAAACAGCAAGUAAGCACUGUUUGAGUGAAUAGAAGAGAGGUGAGUGUUUAAUACCAUAAAUCUCUUAAAUCCUCUGAAUCCCACUGCACAUAUGUUUAUGUUUGUUUGUUCUGUGGUUUAAUGGGGGAAUAAAUAAUUAGAAGCUGUCAAACUAAUUUAACAUAUAUUGAAUCUGUGCUACCUAUUUUAUACACAGUAUACAUGGGAAAGCUUAUAUAUAAUAGUUUACAGAUCAAUGUUUCAAUAUUAAUUUGUUCUUCAUCAUAAAAAUAUAAAACUUUCA
This is a long non-coding RNA of Perca flavescens (yellow perch), 1559 nucleotides long. RefSeq lists it as uncharacterized. Lineage: Eukaryota; Metazoa; Chordata; Actinopteri; Perciformes; Percidae. The record is from RefSeq and is a predicted model, not a curated record. The transcript is spliced from 2 exons.